GGGUUGUGAGGUUAAGCGACUAAGCGUACACGGUGGAUGCCCUGGCAGUCAGAGGCGAUGAAGGACGUGCUAAUCUGCGAUAAGCGUCGGUAAGGUGAUAUGAACCGUUAUAACCGGCGAUUUCCGAAUGGGGAAACCCAGUGUGUUUCGACACACUAUCAUUAACUGAAUCCAUAGGUUAAUGAGGCGAACCGGGGGAACUGAAACAUCUAAGUACCCCGAGGAAAAGAAAUCAACCGAGAUUCCCCCAGUAGCGGCGAGCGAACGGGGAGGAGCCCAGAGCCUGAAUCAGUGUGUGUGUUAGUGGAAGCGUCUGGAAAGGCGCGCGAUACAGGGUGACAGCCCCGUACACAAAAAUGCACAUGCUGUGAGCUCGAUGAGUAGGGCGGGACACGUGGUAUCCUGUCUGAAUAUGGGGGGACCAUCCUCCAAGGCUAAAUACUCCUGACUGACCGAUAGUGAACCAGUACCGUGAGGGAAAGGCGAAAAGAACCCCGGCGAGGGGAGUGAAAAAGAACCUGAAACCGUGUACGUACAAGCAGUGGGAGCACGCUUAGGCGUGUGACUGCGUACCUUUUGUAUAAUGGGUCAGCGACUUAUAUUCUGUAGCAAGGUUAACCGAAUAGGGGAGCCGAAGGGAAACCGAGUCUUAACUGGGCGUUAAGUUGCAGGGUAUAGACCCGAAACCCGGUGAUCUAGCCAUGGGCAGGUUGAAGGUUGGGUAACACUAACUGGAGGACCGAACCGACUAAUGUUGAAAAAUUAGCGGAUGACUUGUGGCUGGGGGUGAAAGGCCAAUCAAACCGGGAGAUAGCUGGUUCUCCCCGAAAGCUAUUUAGGUAGCGCCUCGUGAAUUCAUCUCCGGGGGUAGAGCACUGUUUCGGCAAGGGGGUCAUCCCGACUUACCAACCCGAUGCAAACUGCGAAUACCGGAGAAUGUUAUCACGGGAGACACACGGCGGGUGCUAACGUCCGUCGUGAAGAGGGAAACAACCCAGACCGCCAGCUAAGGUCCCAAAGUCAUGGUUAAGUGGGAAACGAUGUGGGAAGGCCCAGACAGCCAGGAUGUUGGCUUAGAAGCAGCCAUCAUUUAAAGAAAGCGUAAUAGCUCACUGGUCGAGUCGGCCUGCGCGGAAGAUGUAACGGGGCUAAACCAUGCACCGAAGCUGCGGCAGCGACACUAUGUGUUGUUGGGUAGGGGAGCGUUCUGUAAGCCUGUGAAGGUGUGCUGUGAGGCAUGCUGGAGGUAUCAGAAGUGCGAAUGCUGACAUAAGUAACGAUAAAGCGGGUGAAAAGCCCGCUCGCCGGAAGACCAAGGGUUCCUGUCCAACGUUAAUCGGGGCAGGGUGAGUCGACCCCUAAGGCGAGGCCGAAAGGCGUAGUCGAUGGGAAACAGGUUAAUAUUCCUGUACUUGGUGUUACUGCGAAGGGGGGACGGAGAAGGCUAUGUUGGCCGGGCGACGGUUGUCCCGGUUUAAGCGUGUAGGCUGGUUUUCCAGGCAAAUCCGGAAAAUCAAGGCUGAGGCGUGAUGACGAGGCACUACGGUGCUGAAGCAACAAAUGCCCUGCUUCCAGGAAAAGCCUCUAAGCAUCAGGUAACAUCAAAUCGUACCCCAAACCGACACAGGUGGUCAGGUAGAGAAUACCAAGGCGCUUGAGAGAACUCGGGUGAAGGAACUAGGCAAAAUGGUGCCGUAACUUCGGGAGAAGGCACGCUGAUAUGUAGGUGAAGUCCCUCGCGGAUGGAGCUGAAAUCAGUCGAAGAUACCAGCUGGCUGCAACUGUUUAUUAAAAACACAGCACUGUGCAAACACGAAAGUGGACGUAUACGGUGUGACGCCUGCCCGGUGCCGGAAGGUUAAUUGAUGGGGUCAGCGCAAGCGAAGCUCUUGAUCGAAGCCCCGGUAAACGGCGGCCGUAACUAUAACGGUCCUAAGGUAGCGAAAUUCCUUGUCGGGUAAGUUCCGACCUGCACGAAUGGCGUAAUGAUGGCCAGGCUGUCUCCACCCGAGACUCAGUGAAAUUGAACUCGCUGUGAAGAUGCAGUGUACCCGCGGCAAGACGGAAAGACCCCGUGAACCUUUACUAUAGCUUGACACUGAACAUUGAGCCUUGAUGUGUAGGAUAGGUGGGAGGCUUUGAAGUGUGGACGCCAGUCUGCAUGGAGCCGACCUUGAAAUACCACCCUUUAAUGUUUGAUGUUCUAACGUUGACCCGUAAUCCGGGUUGCGGACAGUGUCUGGUGGGUAGUUUGACUGGGGCGGUCUCCUCCUAAAGAGUAACGGAGGAGCACGAAGGUUGGCUAAUCCUGGUCGGACAUCAGGAGGUUAGUGCAAUGGCAUAAGCCAGCUUGACUGCGAGCGUGACGGCGCGAGCAGGUGCGAAAGCAGGUCAUAGUGAUCCGGUGGUUCUGAAUGGAAGGGCCAUCGCUCAACGGAUAAAAGGUACUCCGGGGAUAACAGGCUGAUACCGCCCAAGAGUUCAUAUCGACGGCGGUGUUUGGCACCUCGAUGUCGGCUCAUCACAUCCUGGGGCUGAAGUAGGUCCCAAGGGUAUGGCUGUUCGCCAUUUAAAGUGGUACGCGAGCUGGGUUUAGAACGUCGUGAGACAGUUCGGUCCCUAUCUGCCGUGGGCGCUGGAGAACUGAGGGGGGCUGCUCCUAGUACGAGAGGACCGGAGUGGACGCAUCACUGGUGUUCGGGUUGUCAUGCCAAUGGCACUGCCCGGUAGCUAAAUGCGGAAGAGAUAAGUGCUGAAAGCAUCUAAGCACGAAACUUGCCCCGAGAUGAGUUCUCCCUGACUCCUUGAGAGUCCUGAAGGAACGUUGAAGACGACGACGUUGAUAGGCCGGGUGUGUAAGCGCAGCGAUGCGUUGAGCUAACCGGUACUAAUGAACCGUGAGGCUUAACCUUACAACGCCGAAGCUGUU
RNAcentral lists this ribosomal RNA (2929 nucleotides) under Escherichia coli. RNAcentral describes it as "23S ribosomal RNA". It matches the Rfam family "Bacterial large subunit ribosomal RNA". The record is from RNAcentral. Lineage: Bacteria; Pseudomonadati; Pseudomonadota; Gammaproteobacteria; Enterobacterales; Enterobacteriaceae.